RNAcentral lists this ribosomal RNA (451 nucleotides) under uncultured bacterium. RNAcentral's name for it is "partial 16S ribosomal RNA". It matches the Rfam family "Bacterial small subunit ribosomal RNA", at positions 28 to 507 of the family's 1533-position model. The record is from RNAcentral.
GAUGAACGCUGGCGGAGUGCCUAACACAUGCAAGUCGAGCGGCAGCGCGAGUAGUUUACUACUUGGCGGCGAGCGGCGGACGGCCGAGUAACGCGUGGGAACAUGCCCCAAAGUGAGGAAUAACUGCCCGAAAGGGUAGCUAAUGCCGCAUAUGAUCUUCGGAUUAAAGGAUUUAUCCGCUUUGGGAGUGGCCUGCGUACGAUUAGAUAGUUGGUGAGGUAAAGGCUCACCAAGUCGACGAUCGUUAACUGGUUUGAGAGGAUGAUCAGUCAGACUGGAACUGAGACACGGUCCAGACUCCUACGGGAGGCAGCAGUGAGGAAUCUUCCACAAUGGGCGAAAGCCUGAUGGAGCAACUCCGCGUGCAGGAUGAAGGCCUUCGGGUUGUAAACUGCUUUUAUGAGUGAAGAAUAUGACGGUAACUCAUGAAUAAGGGUCGGCUAACUACGUG